ACUUCAAAAGGCACCUGACUUAACAGAAGAAAAUAAAGACUAGCAUUCGUUCCUUUAAUGAACAUAAGAACAUAAGAAAGGAGGAACACUGCAGCAGGCCUGUUGGCCCAUACUAGGCAGGUCCUUUACAAUUCAUCCCACUAACAAACAUUUGACCUACCCAAUUUUCAAUGCUACCCAAGAAAUAAGCUCUGAUGUGCAAGUCCCACUCAAAUCCAACCCAUCCCACUCAUGUAUUUACCCAACCUAAAUUUGAAACUACCCAAAGUCCUAGCCUCAAUAACCCAACUAGGUAGACUGUUCCACUCAUCUACUACCCUAUUUCCAUAAGAACAUAAGAACAUAAGAAAGGAGGAUCACUGCAGCAGGCCUGUUGGGUCAUACUCGGCAGGUCCUUUACAAUCCAUCCCACUAACAAAGCAUUUGCCAAAUCCAAUUUUCAA
This is a non-coding RNA of Cherax quadricarinatus, 443 nucleotides long. The record is from RefSeq and is a predicted model, not a curated record. Lineage: Eukaryota; Metazoa; Arthropoda; Malacostraca; Decapoda; Parastacidae.